UAAGUCCUGUAUUUAUUCACUUUUUUCAAAAUGAUUGCACAGCGCUUAUGUAAUCGCAACUGCAAUUAUCAUUUCUCAUACAUACAUAUAUGCAUUGAUAUUGCAAUGAAUCGAUGCACAAUAAAUUAUUUAUACCAAAAUUCAGCCUUGGCUAGCAGCUUAUAACAGAAGCAAGAGCAUGAACAAACCCAUGCAUGAUUUCUCAGUUAUGUGAUCUUUUCUUCCAAUCUUAAAUAAACCAAGUACCAACAACUUGAUUGCAGGAAAGCAUCUCGCUGAGCAUUGCAAGGCAGAGUACCCAAGUCCAGUGAAAUACUGCCUGUGGAUACUUGCUGGGGUGGCCGUUAUAGCAGCCGACAUCCCAGCAGUACUAGGAACGGCAUUUGCUCUGAACAUACUCUUCAGAAUACCCAUGUGGAGCGGGGUCCUGCUGGCUGGAUUGAAUACUCUCCUUCUCCAUGGGAUGCAACGAUAUGGUAUAAGGAAGCUGGAGGGUGCGAUUGGUAUGCUAGUAAUGGUGGUGGGUGGCUGCUUCUUUGCUGUAAUGAUAAAGGCCAGCCCGAGUGCAAAGGAGAUGGUGACCGGAAUGUUCGUUCCCAAAUUGAAUGCGAAAGGAGCCA
Long non-coding RNA from Carya illinoinensis, 620 nucleotides. RefSeq lists it as uncharacterized. The transcript has 3 exons. Lineage: Eukaryota; Viridiplantae; Streptophyta; Magnoliopsida; Fagales; Juglandaceae. The record is from RefSeq and is a predicted model, not a curated record.